RNAcentral lists this ribosomal RNA (466 nucleotides) under uncultured bacterium. RNAcentral's name for it is "partial 16S ribosomal RNA". It matches the Rfam family "Bacterial small subunit ribosomal RNA", at positions 36 to 507 of the family's 1533-position model. The record is from RNAcentral.
CGCCCUCUGGCGGCGUGCUUAACACAUGCAAGUCGAACGGAAAGGCCCUGCUUUUGUGGGGUGCUCGAGUGGCGAACGGGUGAGUAACACGUGAGUAACCUGCCCUUGACUUUGGGAUAACUUCAGGAAACUGGGGCUAAUACCGGAUAGGAGCUCCUGCUGCAUGGUGGGGGUUGGAAAGGUUCGGCGGUUGGGGAUGGACUCGCGGCUUAUCAGCUUGUUGGUGGGGUAGUGGCUUACCAAGGCUUUGACGGGUAGCCGGCCUGAGAGGGUGACCGGCCACAUUGGGACUGAGAUACGGCCCAGACUCCUACGGGAGGCAGCAGUGGGGAAUAUUGCACAAUGGGCGGAAGCCUGAUGCAGCAACGCCGCGUGCGGGAUGACGGCCUUCGGGUUGUAAACCGCUUUCGCCUGUGACGAAGCGUGAGUGACGGUAAUGGGUAAAGAAGCACCGGCUAACUACGUG